CGCGGCCUAUCAGCUUGUUGGUGAGGUAAUGGCUCACCGAGGCGACGACGGGUAGCCGGCCUGAGAGGGCGACCGGCCACACUGGGACUGAGACACGGCCCAGACUCCUACGGGAGGCAGCAGUGGGGAAUAUUGCACAAUGGGCGAAAGCCUGAUGCAGCGACGCCGCGUGAGGGAUGACGGCCUUCGGGUUGUAAACCUCUUUCAGCUCCGAAGAAGCGAGAGUGACGGUAGGAGCAGAAGAAGCACCGGCUAACUACGUGCCAGCAGCCGCGGUAAUACGUAGGGUGCAAGCGUUGUCCGGAAUUAUUGGGCGUAAAGAGCUCGUAGGUGGUUCGUCGCGUCUGCUGUGAAAGUCCGAGGCUUAACCUCGGAUCUGCAGUGGGUACGGGCGGACUAGAGUGCGGUAGAGGAGAUGGGAAUUCCUGGUGUAGCGGUGGAAUGCGCAGAUAUCAGGAGGAACACCGGUGGCGAAGGCGCAUCUCUGGGCCGUAACUGACGCUGAGGAGCGAAAGCAUGGGGAGCGAACAGGCUUAGAUACCCUGGUAGUCCAUGCCGUAAACGUUGGGCGCUAGGUGUGGGGUCCUAUCCACGGAUUCCGUGCCGCAGCUAACGCAUUAAGCGCCCCGCCUGGGGAGUACGG
This 643-nucleotide ribosomal RNA is filed under the name uncultured bacterium. RNAcentral describes it as "bacterial SSU rRNA". It matches the Rfam family "Bacterial small subunit ribosomal RNA", at positions 232 to 885 of the family's 1533-position model. The record is from RNAcentral.